GUUCUCGGUGUCACACUCAAUCCAAUUGAUAAUCAUUCACAGAUAUCCUACCAUUCAUCUAACCAGACCGGUUAAGUGUACUCUAAAAUCCUACGUUUAAUUCUUUCUAUCCAUCCUAGCUCUCAAUCACAAACAAAAAGGUCUUCAACCAAUCAAUCAAUCAAUCAUUCAUCAUUACAACCAGUUAAUUUACAAUAUCUAAUCAGUAUGAGUGUUCCGAUGCAAUAUGAUCUAUCAACCUAACAACAACCAGAAUCUACUCAAUCCUAGCUCCCC
This 276-nucleotide long non-coding RNA is filed under the name Brassica napus (rape). RNAcentral's name for it is "long non-coding RNA (BNAP_LNC007683)". Lineage: Eukaryota; Viridiplantae; Streptophyta; Magnoliopsida; Brassicales; Brassicaceae. The record is from RNAcentral.